GCAGCAGCACCAUGGUCUCCACCUGGUGCUUGUCGCUGGGGAUGGUGCGCAGAAACGAGGGGUAAUGCCGCUUCACUCCGAGCGUCACGCUGCUGGCCUCGUAGCUGAUCUGCGGAGGGGGGCCGGGGGGGGGUUUCAGUUCAGCGACUUCAGUGGCCUUGGCCUCAACUCAGGGCCUCCAAGUGCUGGCCCUGUGCUGGGCGCGGGGACCCGAGGAGGAGGGAGACGUGGUCCCAGCCCUGGCCCUCAAGGAGAGCUCUGGUGGACUAGGAGGCCGACCAGCUACAUCUAAAGAAGAGGCAGAAACCCAGGGGGAGGUUUGCGGGAGAAGAAGGGGAAGAGAACAAAAGCUACACCCAGUGAGAGAACUGACCCAGGAGGUUGGAAGCCGGAAGAAGGAGCACAAAAGUAGGCGUGUCUGGUCAGGGCAGGAGGCCUUACUCCUGGCAGUAAGGUAGCUAAGAUCCUUGGUCUUUAUCUGCAGGCCCUGGGGAGCCCCUUAAAUGUCUAGGCAGAGAGGUAAUCUGCCCAGACUUGUGUUUCAGGGGUGUAUCUGAUUUCAGUGAAGAAUGUGUUAGAAAAGGCUCAAGACCAGAGUCGGGAAGAACUCCCUAGGAGACUGCUGGAAUCAUCCCGAAGAGACAGCUUGGCAGCCUGAGUUCGAGCCGUGGCAGCGGUGACGGAGAAGAGGGAUGGGCCCGGCAGCUCAUAGAAGGUAAAAGCAGAGGCCGUGGUGGUGGGGGAAGGAGGAAUGUAGGCGGCGCACCGGGUUCCUGGCUUGAGGCUUGAGUGGAGGUGGUCACUCUUAAGGCAAGUGGGCAGGAAGCAGAGAGGCUGGAGUUGUAUAGGGAGGUAGGUUCAGCCGGGGGGCCCGCUGGAUGCACGAAGUGGAGACCCCGGAAGAGCAGCCAGAAAUGAGGCUCGGUGCUUAGAACUCACGACAGAAGCGAGGGAACGGGCGAUGGAGCCGUGGGGCCACGGCCUGUGGAGAGGUUCUGAAUGAACCGCCCCAAGAUCUGCCACCUGGGCGUGUGGGUUAAUUUCCAGUUGAAAAUCAUUAAAGCGCAAAAGACCCGGGGGAAACUUUGUCCUUUCCCCUAACCGCCCAAAAGAAUUUAGAGAGCUAAGCUGCCCCAGGUUCAGGAGCUUCACCACAGAGAAUUACAUUACAAUAGGAACUAGGCGAAGUAAGCAGGGGUGGGGGUGGGGGGAACCUAGCAAAGUCCCAUUUGUUAAAAUUCCUCUCCAUGUCCCGUGGUUUCUGGAUGGCCCAGCAAACAUUGUGUAAUACACAUUCACUCUCUCUUCUCCUAUGAAUUGUCUUCCUUUCCUUUGAAGUCUGACCCCUACCCACUUCUCCAUAGUUCAGGAUAGCAGAUAAGCCUCACUUUGCCUGUCUUUGAA
Molecule: long non-coding RNA, 1404 nt
Organism: Herpailurus yagouaroundi (jaguarundi)
Lineage: Eukaryota; Metazoa; Chordata; Mammalia; Carnivora; Felidae
Exons: 2
Source: RefSeq, a predicted model, not a curated record